RNAcentral lists this ribosomal RNA (474 nucleotides) under uncultured bacterium. RNAcentral's name for it is "SSU rRNA". It matches the Rfam family "Bacterial small subunit ribosomal RNA", at positions 26 to 521 of the family's 1533-position model. The record is from RNAcentral.
AGGAUGAACGCUGGCGGCGUGCCUAACACAUGCAAGUCGAGCGUCCUGUCUCGCAAGAGGCAGGGAGUGGCGGACGGGUGAGUACCACGUGGGUCAUCUACCGUGAGGUGAGGAAUACCGGCGAGAAAUCGCCGACAAGACCGCAUAGCCUCGGUGCAAGCCGAGGAAAGCUUUCUCGAGAGAGGGAGCGCCACACGAGGAGCCUGCGCCCGAUUAGCUAGCUGGUGGAGUAACGGUUCACCAGGGCGACGAUCGGUAGCUGGUCUGAGAGGACGAUCAGCCACACUGGGAUUGAGAACGGCCCAGACUCCUACGGGGGGCAGCAGUGAGGAAUUUUCGUCAAUGGGGGCAACCCUGAACGAGCAACGCCGCGUGCAGGAAGAAGGUUUCGGAUCGUAAACUGCUUUUCUCGGGAAGAGAACGGACGGUACCCGAGGAAUCAGCCCCGGCUAACUACGCGCCAGCAGCCGCGGU